RNAcentral lists this ribosomal RNA (468 nucleotides) under uncultured bacterium. RNAcentral describes it as "partial 16S ribosomal RNA". It matches the Rfam family "Bacterial small subunit ribosomal RNA", at positions 28 to 507 of the family's 1533-position model. The record is from RNAcentral.
GACGAACGCUGGCGGCGUGCUUAACACAUGCAAGUCGAACGGAAAGGCCCUGCUUUUGUGGGGUGCUCGAGUGGCGAACGGGUGAGUAACACGUGAGUAACCUGCCCUUGACUUUGGGAUAACUUCAGGAAACUGGGGCUAAUACCGGAUAGGAGCUCCUGCUGCAUGGUGGGGGUUGGAAAGUUUCGGCGGUUGGGGAUGGACUCGCGGCUUAUCAGCUUGUUUGUGGGGUAGUGGCUUACCAAGGCUUUGACGGGUAGCCGGCCUGAGAGGGUGACCGGCCACCUUGGGACUGAGAUACGGCCCAGACGCCUACGGGAGGCAGCAGUGGGGAAUAUUGCACAAUGGGCGGAAGCCUGAUGCAGCAACGCCGCGUGCGGGAUGACGGCCUUCGGGUUGUAAACCGCUUUCGCCUGUGACGAAGCGUGAGUGACGGUAAUGGGUAAAGAAGCACCGGCUAACUACGUG